Molecule: transfer RNA, 95 nt
Filed under: Crassvirales sp.
Lineage: Duplodnaviria; Heunggongvirae; Uroviricota; Caudoviricetes; Crassvirales
Description: tRNA-OTHER
Source: RNAcentral
GGGUACAUAACAUCAGCAGACUGUAAAUCUGCCCUCCUUUAUCAAAUUGAUGUAAUGGACUUUGGAGUAGGGGAGUUCGAGUCUCUCUGUGCCCA